Molecule: ribosomal RNA, 1035 nt
Filed under: Chryseobacterium sp. T2110
Lineage: Bacteria; Pseudomonadati; Bacteroidota; Flavobacteriia; Flavobacteriales; Weeksellaceae
Description: bacterial SSU rRNA
Rfam family: Bacterial small subunit ribosomal RNA
Source: RNAcentral
ACGCUGCGGGAGGCCUAACACAUGCAAGCCGAGCGGUAUAAGUAGCUUGCUACUUAGAGAGCGGCGUACGGGUGCGUAACACGUGUGCAACCUGCCUUUAUCUGGGGGAUAGCCUUUCGAAAGGAAGAUUAAUACCCCAUAAUAUAUGUUUAGGCAUCUAAAUAUAUUGAAAACUCCGGUGGAUAGAGAUGGGCACGCGCAAGAUUAGAUAGUUGGUGAGGUAACGGCUCACCAAGUCUGUGAUCUUUAGGGGGCCUGAGAGGGUGAUCCCCCACACUGGUACUGAGACACGGACCAGACUCCUACGGGAGGCAGCAGUGAGGAAUAUUGGACAAUGGGUGAGAGCCUGAUCCAGCCAUCCCGCGUGAAGGACGACGGCCCUACGGGUUGUAAACUUCUUUUAUAUAGGAAUAAACCCAGAUACGUGUAUUUGGCUGAAGGUACUAUAUGAAUAAGCACCGGCUAACUCCGUGCCAGCAGCCGCGGUAAUACGGAGGGUGCGAGCGUUAUCCGGAUUUAUUGGGUUUAAAGGGUCCGUAGGCGGGCCUGUAAGUCAGUGGUGAAAUCUCAUAGCUUAACUAUGAAACUGCCAUUGAUACUGCAGGUCUUGAGUGAAUUUGAGGUAGCUGGAAUAAGUAGUGUAGCGGUGAAAUGCAUAGAUAUUACUUAGAACACCAAUUGCGAAGGCAGGUUACCAAGAUUCAACUGACGCUGAGGGACGAAAGCGUGGGGAGCGAACAGGAUUAGAUACCCUGGUAGUCCACGCUGUAAACGAUGCUAACUCGUUUUUGGGCUUUCGGGCUCAGAGACCAAGCGAAAGUGAUAAGUUAGCCACCUGGGGAGUACGUUCGCAAGAAUGAAACUCAAAGGAAUUGACGGGGGCCCGCACAAGCGGUGGAUUAUGUGGUUUAAUUCGAUGAUACGCGAGGAACCUUACCAAGGCUUAAAUGGGAAUUGACAGGUUUAGAAAUAGACCCUUCUUCGGACAAUUUUCAAGGUGCUGCAUGGUUGUCGUCAGCUCGUGCCGUGAGGUGU